Molecule: ribosomal RNA, 328 nt
Filed under: uncultured eukaryote
Lineage: Eukaryota
Description: partial 18S ribosomal RNA
Rfam family: Eukaryotic small subunit ribosomal RNA
Source: RNAcentral
CCCUUAGAUGUCCUGGGCCGCACGCGCGUUACACUGAUGCAUUCAACGAGCUUAUAACCUUGGCCGAGAGGCCUGGGCAAUCUUGUUAACGUGCAUCGUGAUAGGGAUAGAUUAUUGAAAUUAUUAAUCUUGAACGAGGAAUUCCUAGUAAACGCAGAUCAUCAAUCUGCAUUGAUUACGUCCCUGCCCUUUGUACACACCGCCCGUCGCACCUACCGAUUGGAUGGUCCGGUGAAGCUUCGGGAUUGUGGUUCUUGCCGCUUUAUUGUGGCGUGACCGCGAGAACUUGUCUAAACCUUAUCAUCUAGAGGAAGGUGAAGUCGUAACA